Molecule: long non-coding RNA, 2046 nt
Organism: Homo sapiens (human)
Lineage: Eukaryota; Metazoa; Chordata; Mammalia; Primates; Hominidae
Source: Ensembl
CUGCAGCUUCAUUCUUGAAGUCAGACCAAGAACCCAGCAAUUCCCAACACACAGGGACCAGCUUCUUUCCUAACUCACUUAGGCUCUUCGUGCUGCUCUGGCAACUAACACCCUUGGCUGCAGGGGCUUGGACACUACCCUUAGUCACUGACAAUUGUGUGAAGGCUGCUGUCGUUAACUUCACUUGAUCACCUUAGGCUCCUGUGAAGUGGUGAGCAAUUCAAACAAAUUCCUGUCGUCAAAUCAUAAUCCUGAUUUUGUUUGGAAGGACAGCGUGCCUGGUUCCAGGUGUUCAGCUGCAUUGGCGCCAGAGCACCAAUGGGGCAAGAGAAUCCUCUGGAGAAGUUUUCUGUGAUCUCAUCACAGGAGUAGCCCAGAGGAACAGCCCAGGGCCUGGGGCCUAGGAUGGGUGGACCAGGCCAUGCAGCUGGUUGGGGGCUUGACCCCCACUCAAAAAGACAGGAGAGAGAAGGGGAAUGGCUGUAAGCAGUGAAGCUCCUCUUUGAACACUGUAGAAGGUUCCCAUCCUGGCACAGGCAUGAUGGAGAAAUUGCACUGCAGAGAAAUCUUUAAAAGCAAUUACCUAAUACUGCAGAUUGCUGAACUGUACCCACACCCAAGACUGAGCAUUGGAUCAAUCCAGAAUAUACAUCAGGUGUUCUGCAAUGUCUGCCUAAAACCAUGACUCUGCCUCCUCCAGCUGUUGCUACAUCUCACUAUGGGUUUCCUGUGACAUUUUGAGCAAGUAUGCCUCUGUGACUGGGGUUCUUACACUCCAGAAUGGAUGAGAAGCACCCCUCCUGUGGAGCCGGCCGUGGAAACGCCCUGACAUGGAGUCAGAAGCCCGAGCCCGUGUUUCAGACUUGGCGUUCAUUGACCAGAAGAGCUGCUUCACCACUUAACCAUGCAGCUUCAAGGGCUCCAUCUGCAAAACGCAGGCUUGAACCACAGGACUGGUUAUGCUCCUUCUUGUUCUGUGUCCUCUAAAUCCACCCCGUGGGAUGGUUCUCAUCCUCAUUUCUAGGAAAACAAGGCCCAGGUGGAAUCUCUUUUCUCAUCUGCAGGACUGAUGCCUUUCUUGGCCUAAAUUUCAACAACAUGUGACUAUAAAACUUACCUGUGUGUGAACCCUACAGAUAUUUGCGGGGGUGUUGUGUGGGGAGAUGACCCCAUGGUGGGCCCCUAGCGCCGGCCUCUUGCUAUCAUGCUGAGCACGCCCACCUUGCCGCAGCCUAGGAUCUCCCUUUCCCACCGGCACUCUCUUGCCUGGAGUGUGGAUCCACUGUGGCUUUCCCUCGCCCCAUCCUCCAGCUUGGUGGGUAGUAAUAUCUUCUGUCCCUCUUUAGACUCGGGGGCCUAACUGGAAAACAGGUGCAUUGGUAGAUUUAGUAGCAGAGGAGUCCAAGAGUUCUAGUGCUCUACAUGGGCAUGAGACCAAAGCCCAUAAAUACAUGUUCGCGGGGUGCCUACUGUAUACCCAAUGCUGUAAGGUAGUGUCCCCAAAGCAUACUGCUGCAGAACACUAGUUUUGUGGGGUGUUCAACGAUAUUACCUGGAGAAAAGAGUCCAGAAUCUAACAAGUUUGGGAAACUCUGGAUUAAAUAAGGUUAACUAUGUUUCUUUUAGGUAGUCCUUCUCAGAGACUUAAGAUGAGAGCAUGCAUUGGGAACUUCCAAAAUGGGAGAUGCAGUGGGAGGCACUCCCAUAGUUAGGUAACCAGGCAGCCCCUUUUUACUUAUUUUAUUUUAUUUUUUUGAGAUGGAGUCUUACUAUGUUACCCAGGCUGGACUCAAACUUCUGAGCUCAAGCAGUUAUCCCACCUCAGCCUUAUCCCACCUCAGCCUCCUAAGUAGCUGGGACUACAGGCACGAGCCACCACACCUGGCUUUUUUAAAAACAAAGGACCAUAUUUUGGAAACACAUAGGCCCUGUAGCACACAGACCCAUGGGAUCUCCUGGCCACCUGGCCCAGCCCAUCUUCCGCAGAUAUGAAUCCUGGACCUGAGGGAGAAGCGAAGCAACUUGCCCCAGGGCCCCACGGCUAAC